Non-coding RNA from Eucalyptus grandis, 75 nucleotides. NCBI's taxonomy places the organism in Eukaryota, Viridiplantae, Streptophyta, Magnoliopsida, Myrtales, Myrtaceae. The record is from Rfam.
AGCAAAUGAUGAGCUUAUGAAACUGAAUUUCAUGUUGAAAUCAACAUCAUAUGGUCUUCAAAGUUCUCUGAUGCU